UGGCGUUCAUCCCACAGUGUUGGACUGGCCGUGGUGCUCUGCUCCCCACCACACCUCCUCUGGAUCCUUGCUAAAUGCAAGCUGACAAACCUGUGCCUUGUUUCAUCUGGGUCUGCACAAAAGGAUAAAUAACUACGAGACCUGAAAAGGCUGUUGAAAUAUCAGAUGGCGAAAACAAGCAGGAGCUCCAGAUGGAGCAACUGGAAGAGAAACAUGACAAAGAUGGUAAUGGGAAAGCUUCGGAUUCACACUGGAUUGGAAGUCCCCUGCUUGGGAUUGGGGGUUCCCACCUGUGGCUUCCAAACCCACCCUCUGUGCAAGCCCUUGUGCAAAGCAACAUCCCAUGAGGAAGUUCUUCAUUAUUAUGCUAGGAACAUUGAUCUGAAGCUGUAUCCUGAAGUGCUGAGACCUUUGGUGAGCUGUAGGAGGCCUUCAGCAACCGCCAGCUUCACUCCAGAAGGAAAAGGUGGAUUUUAAGUCUACAGUUUCAGAGCUGAUGAAAAUAUAUGGAGGCCUGAUUUCCACUAAAGGGGAGAGGAGAAGGCAUGAGAAAUCCCUUGAAUCAUUUGAAGGAAAGAUUGGUCCUGCUCCACUGAAACCCUUGGUCUGCAUAUGCCCCCUUGGAGACCUUUAGUGAACAUCAAAGAAUGGCAGUAGAAUUUUCAUUGUGCUCUGUCAGAAAAACUAAAGGAAUUUCUAUAUCUCUGAGUUUCGUGAGCAGCUUACCUCCUCACAUUUGUACUGAAGUCUUUCAUGACUGGUUUCCUUAGUGAAGAAAAGAUUGCUGUUGAAAUUAACUCUGUGAAGAUCCAGUCAAAGCAAAAAGAACACUGAAAUUGUGUUGAUUCUUACAAGACAAACAUUCUUUCUGGAGCUAUUCUGGAAGGACAUUUCACCUGGAACAAUAAAAUCCAGGUUUUCAGAAAAACAGAUUAAUGACUGUGUGUGUUCUCUGGGAUAAUGUGUCUAUCAGGAACUCUAUAUUCCCCCUUCAAAGAUGCCCUGCGUGGGUAAACGUUACCUCUUCACCCAAAAAACUCUAAUUUCAUGUCAGCCUUCCAGCUCUGAGCUGUUCCAUUUGUGUGCAGAGAGAAAGGGUGAAUCACUGCCUUAAUUAAGGAUCAGAACAGAGAUCCCACAAAGGUUCCUUAGUGCUGCUUGGGGACCGAUGUCUGCCCUCAUCCCUGUGUUCCAGAGCCUCAGUCAGGGGGCAGUGCUGGGGACCACUCACUCUCCCUUCUGGUGCUCCAGCUGGAUCACUGGCACCAGGUUUUUGAGGCACUGUGCUGGCUGGGAUUUGCAUUCUCUCUCUGCUUCCACAAGGAGUAUGAGGAACGCUGAGCAGCACCACCACAACUUGAUUCUCUUCAGCCAAAGGGUGACCAGUGUCCCACCUUGCCAUGGAGGUCAAUGGAAGUUCACUUGUCGACUUCAUGCACAGGAUUUCAACCCGUGUCUGUGAUUAGUGAUGAAAUGAAAUUCACAGCUUGGAACCAUUUAUCCAGCAUAUCCAAUCAAACACAAACAUCCUUUGUGAUUGAAAAUGAAUCAGGGCUGGAGGCAGCUAGCGUGCUGCAGAGGUUUGUGAUAGAUUAAUGAGCUGAGAACAAGCUGCCACCUCCACCCCCAUCAUCAGUGACUUUCCAGUCUGAGGAAAGGGACGCUGAGCUAGAGGUGGAGGAUAUACCCUCUGAUAACUGUUGCAGUGGGAGGCGAGAAAUAAGAGCUCCAAGUGGAGGAGGAGGAGAAAAAAAAGGCCAGCACUGUCCUCUGUUAAGCAGGGUACAGUUCAGAGAGAGCAGCUGCCUGACAGUGUUCUGGCAGGAGGGUCAGGGCAGGAGCAGCCCUGUGCUCACAGCACCUGUUAUCGAACACUACCCGCAGGUACCAGGGCAGCACAGACCGUGGUUUUCUGACUUCUGCCAGACACGUGGGAAGGUCAGGGGCCUGUGAGACGAAAGGAGAGGAUGAAACAGCUGACAAGGUCUGCCCUCAGUGAGAUGCAGUAACACCAAUGCAGAAGGGCUCAUCCCUUCUGCAGAGGCAUGAAGGAUCCCAGAGGAUUCUUGGGCUUAAAGAUGAAAAUAAAGUCUGAGUUUGAGUGUCACCACUCAGUGAUUUUUUAAUUGGGAAAAUCAUGUUAUUUACCCUUUCCUUCCCUUCCCCCUUGACAUGCCAGCCCUGG
Long non-coding RNA from Prinia subflava (tawny-flanked prinia), 2185 nucleotides. RefSeq lists it as uncharacterized. NCBI's taxonomy places the organism in Eukaryota, Metazoa, Chordata, Aves, Passeriformes, Cisticolidae. The transcript has 11 exons. The record is from RefSeq and is a predicted model, not a curated record.